GACGAACGCUGGCGGCGUGCUUAACACAUGCAAGUCGAACGGAAAGGCCCUGCUCUUGCUGGUUGCUCGAUUGGCGAAGGGGUGAGUAACACGUGAGUAACCUCCCCUUGACUUUGUGAUAACUUUAGGGAACUGGGGCUAAUAUCGGAGAGGAGCUCCUGCUGCACGUUGUGGGUUGGAAAGUUUCGGUGGUUGGGGAGUGACUCGCUGGUUAUCGGCUUGUUGGUGAGGUAGUGGCUUACCAAGGUUUUGACGGGUAGCCGGCCUGGGAGGGUGACCGGCCACCUUGGGACUGAGGUACGGCAGAGGCUCCUACGGGAGGCAGCAGUGGGGAAGAUUGAACGAGGGGCGGAGGCCUGAUGAAGAAACGCCGCGUGCGGGAUGACGGCGUUCGGGUUGUAAACCGAUUUCGCAUGUGACGAAGCGUGAGUGACGGUAACGUGUAAAGAAGCCCCGGCUAACUACGUG
RNAcentral lists this ribosomal RNA (468 nucleotides) under uncultured bacterium. RNAcentral describes it as "partial 16S ribosomal RNA". It matches the Rfam family "Bacterial small subunit ribosomal RNA", at positions 28 to 507 of the family's 1533-position model. The record is from RNAcentral.